RNAcentral lists this long non-coding RNA (982 nucleotides) under Marmota monax (woodchuck). Lineage: Eukaryota; Metazoa; Chordata; Mammalia; Rodentia; Sciuridae. The record is from RNAcentral.
AAUAGAUUCAGUCAAUUAUCACUUACUAAUAACAGUAGGGCCUGAUGGAUGACUUUAAUAUAUUUCAGUUUUCUACUGAUCACAUAAUUCUUAUAAUUCAGUUUGUUUCAUAUUAUAAUCUAUUUUAGCCCCUGGAUGUUAUGUAAAUACUUAAUUUUUGAGUCUUGUGAGGUUUUAGCCAGCCCAGCCCUGCUCUUGGAAUUGUAAAAUAAGAAGCAGGUUGAAUUCUGUUCCACUUCACAUUUCUUUUAUCUGUAUCCCUCCUACCUUCUUUUUUAUACCUUCUCUUUUUCUCCUUUACAAAGACAAUUUCAUUUCUUCUGGGCCCAGGUCUUUGCUAGGUAAUAAUAUAUACGUCUAUUAGGUCUCACAAUCUGAUGAUCUCUGUACUAAAUUGGUUAGCAAAAGCUGGGGGAACAUUGCCCAGGUCGAAAGGAGAGACCAUCCAGUUGUGUGAUAAAUCUUCUGUACCAGAGGUUUUAUCUCUCUCUGCCUGGACUGCACUCAGCUCUCCCCAUUUUAUCUAUGUGCUUACCACUCUUAGCCUUAGAACUCUAGUGUGACCUGGACAACUAGUGCCUGGGCUUGGUUAUUCUGGAGGUGAGGCUUCCAUAGCAGGUCCCAGCACCCCAGGAACAUCUCUGUUUCAUGUGAUCUCCAAUUUCCCAUGUCCUAUAUCCAAUAGUUAUGUAAUUGAAAAUUGCUCUAUUCCAUUUCUAAAACCUCUGUAUUUACAAUGAAUUGUCUUCUAGGUUCUUUAUUAUGUCUUAGGGUUGCUACUAUUUGUAUAGAUCAUUUGCAAAGAAGAGAAGAUUGACAUGCCCUGAUUCUACCCUUCUAAGGCUAACAGCUCCUGUCAGUUUCCCAGGUAACUUCUUUCCUUAAAAGGGAGUGUUCUUGAAAGAAUCUAAUAAUGAUGGUUUAUAAUGUCAAAAUAUCUUAAAUUUUCUAUUCUUUUCAGACCAUUAAAUGUAAAGCCAGG